Lepidothrix coronata (blue-crowned manakin) is the source of this 207-nucleotide long non-coding RNA. RefSeq lists it as uncharacterized. The record is from RefSeq and is a predicted model, not a curated record. The transcript is spliced from 4 exons. NCBI's taxonomy places the organism in Eukaryota, Metazoa, Chordata, Aves, Passeriformes, Pipridae.
GAAUCCUAGUCUUCCUCCAACUCUUUUCAACUUUCUGGUCUACUUCUGCAUCUGGUUCUAGAUUCUUACAAGCUGCUGGGUCAUGGAAAAGCUUUGGUUUCCUGGCAGAAGAAUCAAGAAAAAUGCAGAAGACAGGGUGAGAGUGAGUGUGUUUGAGGUGACUUUAGAUAUACAGAACUCCCACUGACUACCAAAAGUUUUGUCUGG